This is a long non-coding RNA of Cryptomeria japonica (Japanese cedar), 682 nucleotides long. RefSeq lists it as uncharacterized. The record is from RefSeq and is a predicted model, not a curated record. Lineage: Eukaryota; Viridiplantae; Streptophyta; Pinopsida; Cupressales; Cupressaceae. The transcript is spliced from 2 exons.
UGUUAUGACAAUACACGUGAAUCUUCCGUAAGACUUGAACUGCAGUUUUGCAACAACUGGUAUUUAUAUACAUUUUCAGAAUUCAUUGUUAUGAAUUUCUCUGUGUAGGUGCUGCAUUCAUUCUGAAGAGAGAACAUAAUUUGAAAACAGUAUUGUUUUUGUUGUCGUCUCAAAAUGGAUCCAGGAGGCCCUCCCCCUGGAGGACCAGGAGGCCCAGGAGGUCCUCCACCUCCAGGUGGUGGUGGUUGGGGUCCUUUCAGUUUCAUAGAUUCAUGUCUGGCCAUCUUGUGUUGUUGCUGCCCAGGUGACGGGCCGCCGCCGCCUCCUCCUCCUCCAUAAAAAGCACGGACUCACAUCUAACUACCAUUGGAUUGCAUAAUACAACUUAGCAUUUAUUCCAAUUUGUUCUAAUUAUCAUGCAAUUUGUAAGUUCAUACAGUUAGCUUUGGAUUGCAGUCUACUGAUCAUCUCUUUCUCAUUUGGUGAAUAAGGGCUUGUGAAGAUCCUUUUGAGCAGGAUCUUAGUGCCGACGCAUGUGAUUGAAAAAAGAUUUUAGUUCUUCUUCUGUGUGUUGUGUUUGAAUCUGCUUUGAUGGUUUCGUUGCAGAAGCGAUUUUCAUUCAGUCUAUUAUAACUUUUGAGUAAAUAAAUAAUUUGGUACCAUCAGGUCAGAUCUAGAUCAA